RNAcentral lists this ribosomal RNA (1268 nucleotides) under uncultured bacterium. RNAcentral describes it as "partial 16S ribosomal RNA". It matches the Rfam family "Bacterial small subunit ribosomal RNA", at positions 104 to 1367 of the family's 1533-position model. The record is from RNAcentral.
GGGUGAGUAAUACAUCGGAACGUACCCUGUCGUGGGGGAUAACGAGUCGAAAGAUUCGCUAAUACCGCAUACGACCUGAGGGUGAAAGCGGGGGAUCGCAAGACCUCGCGCGAUAGGAGCGGCCGAUGUCGGAUUAGCUAGUUGGUGAGGUAAAGGCUCACCAAGGCGACGAUCCGUAGCUGGUCUGAGAGGAUGAUCAGCCACACUGAGACUGAGACACGGCCCAGACUCCUACGGGAGGCAGCAGUGGGGAAUUUUGGACAAUGGGGGCAACCCUGAUCCAGCCAUUCCGCGUGAGUGAAGAAGGCCUUCGGGUUGUAAAGCUCUUUCGGCAGGAACGAAACGGUCGUCUCUAACAUAGAUGGCUAAUGACGGUACCUGAAGAAGAAGCACCGGCUAACUACGUGCCAGCAGCCGCGGUAAUACGUAGGGUGCGAGCGUUAAUCGGAAUUACUGGGCGUAAAGCGUGCGCAGGCGGUUUCGUAAGACAGAUGUGAAAUCCCCGGGCUUAACCUGGGAACUGCGUUUGUGACUGCGAGACUUGAGUGCGGCAGAGGGGGGUGGAAUUCCACGUGUAGCAGUGAAAUGCGUAGAGAUGUGGAGGAACACCGAUGGCGAAGGCAGCCCCCUGGGUCGACACUGACGCUCAUGCACGAAAGCGUGGGUAGCAAACAGGAUUAGAUACCCUGGUAGUCCACGCCCUAAACGAUGCCAACUAGGUGUUGGGGAAGGAGACUUCCUUAGUACCGUAGCUAACGCGUGAAGUUGGCCGCCUGGGGAGUACGGUCGCAAGAUUAAAACUCAAAGGAAUUGACGGGGACCCGCACAAGCGGUGGAUGAUGUGGAUUAAUUCGAUGCAACGCGAAAAACCUUACCUACCCUUGACAUGCCAGGAACCCUGCUGAGAGGUGGGGGUGCCCGAAAGGGAGCCUGGACACAGGUGCUGCAUGGCUGUCGUCAGCUCGUGUCGUGAGAUGUUGGGUUAAGUCCCGCAACGAGCGCAACCCUUGCCGAUAGUUGCCAUCAUUAAGUUGGGCACUCUAUUGGGACUGCCGGUGACAAACCGGAGGAAGGUGGGGAUGACGUCAAGUCCUCAUGGCCCUUAUGGGUAGGGCUUCACACGUCAUACAAUGGUCGGUACAGAGGGUUGCCAAGCCGCGAGGUGGAGCCAAUCCCAGAAAGCCGAUCGUAGUCCGGAUCGGAGUCUGCAACUCGACUCCGUGAAGUCGGAAUCGCUAGUAAUCGUGGAUCAGCAUGCCACGGUGAAU